Molecule: ribosomal RNA, 253 nt
Filed under: uncultured bacterium
Lineage: Bacteria
Description: partial 16S ribosomal RNA
Rfam family: Bacterial small subunit ribosomal RNA
Source: RNAcentral
UACAGAGGGGGCAAGCGUUAUUCGGAAUUAUUGGGCGUAAAGGGCGCGUAGGCGGUGUGUCAAGUCAGGCGUGAAAGCCCCGGGCUCAACCUGGGAACUGCGUCUGAUACUGGAUGGCUUGAAUCCGGGAGAGGGAUGCAGAAUUCCAGGUGUAGCGGUGAAAUGCGUAGAUAUCUGGAGGAAUACCGGUGGCGAAGGCGGCAUCCUGGACCGGCAUUGACGCUGAGGAGCGAAAGCUAGGGGAGCAAACGGG